Molecule: ribosomal RNA, 440 nt
Filed under: uncultured bacterium
Lineage: Bacteria
Description: partial 16S ribosomal RNA
Rfam family: Bacterial small subunit ribosomal RNA
Source: RNAcentral
CCUACGGGAGGCAGCAGUGGGGGAUAUUGCUCAAUGGUGGGAACCCUGAUGCAGCAACGCCGCGUGAGGGAAGAAGGUUUACGGAUUGUUAACCACUGUUCGUGGUGAAGCUAAUGACGGUAACCAAGGCGAGAGCUGCGGCUAACUACGUGCCAGCUGCCGCGGUAAUAUGUAGGGAGCCGGGGUUGUCCGGAUUUACUGGGUGUAAAGGGUGCGUAGGCGGUCUUGAAAGUCAGACGUGAAAACCCCGGGCUCAACCUGUGGCGAGCGUUUGAAACUGUGGGGCUUGAGUGAAGUAGAGGUAGGCGGAAUGCCCGGUGUAGCGGGGAAAUGCGUAGAGAUCGGGCAGAACACCAGUUGCGAAGGCAGCCUACUGGGCGUUAACUGACGCUGAGGCACGAAAGCAUGGGUAGCGAACAGGAUUAGAUACCCUUGUAGUC